RNAcentral lists this ribosomal RNA (497 nucleotides) under uncultured bacterium. RNAcentral's name for it is "partial 16S ribosomal RNA". It matches the Rfam family "Bacterial small subunit ribosomal RNA", at positions 28 to 507 of the family's 1533-position model. The record is from RNAcentral.
GAUGAACGCUGGCGGCGUGCCUAAUACAUGCAAGUCGAGCGAACGGACGAGAAGCUCGCUUUUCUGAUGUUAGCGGCGGACGGGUGAGCAACACGUGGAUAACCUACCUAUAAGACUGGGAUAACUUCGGGAAACCGGAGCUAAUACCGGAUAAUAUUUUGAACCGCAUGGUUCAAAAGUGAAAGACGGUCUUGCUGUCACUUAUAGAUGGAUCCGCGCUGCAUUAGCUAGUUGGUAAGGUAACGGCUUACCAAGGCAACGAUGCAUAGCCGACCUGAGAGGGUGAUCGGCCACACUGGAACUGAGACACGGUCCAGACUCCUACGGGAGGCAGCAGUAGGGAAUCUUCCGCAAUGGGCGAAAGCCUGACGGAGCAACGCCGCGUGAGUGAUGAAGGUCUUCGGAUCGUAAAACUCUGUUAUUAGGGAAGAACAUAUGUGUAAGUAACUGUGCACAUCUUGACGGUACCUAAUCAGAAAGCCACGGCUAACUACGUG